This is a long non-coding RNA of Pseudophryne corroboree (corroboree frog), 668 nucleotides long. RefSeq lists it as uncharacterized. NCBI's taxonomy places the organism in Eukaryota, Metazoa, Chordata, Amphibia, Anura, Myobatrachidae. The transcript has 4 exons. The record is from RefSeq and is a predicted model, not a curated record.
AGAGAAAAUGAAACAGUGAAAACAAUUCAUCCAAAAUGUCCAAUCUCCUGAUCCUGCUGAUUGGUUUUCUUCUGAUUAACGGGUCACUUUGUGAAUCAUAUGGUUACGUUCCAACAUGGGGAAUAGUCUGCCUGGCAUUGAUUGGUUCAGUGCUCUUGAUGAUGAUACUGGUCUUCGUUCUUAUGCUGGCUUUCCGUCGUAGACAGUGAGUGAAAGAGAAACUCUUCAAAGUCCAUUUAACAUUAUGUGAUCUACAAGCAAUAAACUUUCUUUGAACUUUCCACACAAGAAAAUCGGAAUCCUAGAAGACCACUUACCAUUUCUCCACUCAGGAUUUUCGUUAAUGGCAAAUCUUCAUCAAAAGCACGCUGUUCCUUAAGUGAAUCCCUAUAUAAUAGAUCAUAGAUAUUUAUUUCUAGGUUACUGUACUCCAUUAGACCAUACUAAAUACACCACCUCUCCACAUGUUUUUCAGUAUGAAGUAUCUUCAGAUUUCUUUUUUACAUGGCUUUAUUUUUUUAAGCUUUGCUUGCGUGUUCAUAUUAAUAUAUACAAUAGUUUUGUUUUUUUGGGGGGGUUUGAGAGGGGUGUUAUUUGCAAAAGAAAUUGUAAUUGAAGUGGGAUUGUACAGUAAUCAGCUUCAAUAAAAAAAUAUAUUAUUGAUGAAA